GGGGGGGGGGGGGCUCGAACUCACAAAACGCACCAAAGUCAGACGCUUAACUGACUGAGCCACUCAGGCGCCCCUCAGAACUACAACUGACAUUUUAAUUAAAAUUAUAUUAAAUAUGAGUAGAUAGCAAUGCCAACAUGUCUUAUGUCAAAUAAGAUGGAAAAUAUAAGUGUCUCAUGCUUUUUUCUAAUAGAUACUUGGGAUUUAUUAUAGGGCCUCAUCCUUUUGUCUUUUGAGAGAAUUCCGACAAUUGAAUUCGUCUUUAAAAUUUCAAGAACAAGAAGACUAGGCAGCUGGGGUCAGCAUCACAGAAUAGUUUGUUCAAAAUAGAAAUAUUCUUCUGUGGGCAGCAGAAGAACAUAUUCAUUUGCAAAGCUUCCAUCCAUAAACAGUCCUCCCUCUAGGCAGAUGUGAACUCCAACCAGUAUCAGACUGUGUUCUGAGUGAUUGCUCUGAGAAAGCUCCAGUCAUGCCCAGUUCACUUAUUCACUCAACUCACUGUAAAAUCUACCACGGUAGUUGUGUUCAAUAGCGAACCAAAUAGAGAAAAAAACCUGCUGUCCAAGAGCAUACAGCCCACUGCAGGAAGGAUGGAAAAAGAUGAAUUACUUACAAUAUUUUGUAAUAAAUUUGAAAAGCAUGGUAGUCAAUGGGAUGGUGGUGUGGGGGAAUCAAGAACUUUCUGUAACUCCAGAGGGAAUGGUGAAGGUAAUUCAAAGAGAGCAAGCCAUCAUAUGUUUGGUGUUUAUUUGUGGGACUGUCCAUAUAAAAGGAUUUCUUUUUUAACAGUAAUAACAGUAACUAUAAAUACAUUAAAAAAUGACUUUCCUCUUUUUGCCCAAACUUCACAUAACAUAGGCAAAUCAAGAAGAUAUUACUUAGCAAUUGGAUAUCCAGGACACUGGGGAAAGAGAAUUUGGAUAUAGAAACAGGAUUUGACAAGAGGUUGUCACAAAGGAGACUUAAACAAUUCUUGAAUAAUCAUCGUUGGCUGGAACAUUUCUCUUCCCUACUUCCUUAUUAGUAGAUACAAUUAUAUAUGACUUCAGUUCUGUUUCUUUCUUUGAAAAUUAUUGCUUGAAGAACAUAACCUCACUUCCUUGCUAAGAAUGUCACCUUGUGUUACUAUUCUAGAUAUGAAAAGAAAUACUUAACCUGACUAGAUUUGCUCUUGAAGUCUUUAACAGGAUACAGUUCCAUCUUCGUGAAAAUACAGUUUUAUUUUGACCAGAACAGAGGGCCCACAAAAUAGAACUUCUUUUAUCUACUUUGUUUUUUGAUAUUUGAAACAUAAACUAUGGUUGAAAUGAGGGAAUCAAUAUUACAAUGAUCCAUAUGGAAAGCAUAAAAGCAUCAAAUUAGAAUGUGCAGAAGCAUAUGUACAUCUAUGUGCACACACACACACACACACACAUAUACACACAGAUUUACAAAUAAAGAUUUCCCCAAAGCAUCAUCUUAUGAUUGAGGUUUUUUUAAUGAGAAAGAAGUUAUAUUUGUGUUUCAUUUUCAUUUUUCUUAAGAUGCUAUAACAACUGAGUUUCAAAUUACUUUCAUAUUUAAAUUUUCCUCCAGCUAAAGACUUUUCUCUCUCAGCUGGAAUUAUUUCUUAAUUCAUUUAUCCAGUUUCUCAAAUCUUGGCAUAAAAUCUAAGAAAAAUUUCUUUGUAAAUUUUUGAGUGAAUUUUUAAAAUUAAGGCCCGAGGAAAUCAACAUUUUUUUUUUCAAAAGCAAAUAUUGUAGACCAAAUCAAAUUGCUUUUCUAUUGCAUUGACAAGAGAGAAAUGAGGAAGACUUUGACAUCUCUCUGGAAUGAUAGUGUCUAGCCCUAUUAUCUGUGCAUCAACAUGCUUGUAUGCUAUUAUCAACAUUUUAAUAAUACAGAUGUCUGAAAGAUUUCACUCCAAAGAGACCUAAUCUCUCACAAACCAGCUCCCAUCCAAUUUUCUAUUUUUCUCUACCAUCAAGUAGCUGCUCUCCUUUUGUUUCCCACAGAGACAUACCACCCACUGCCUCACCAUACCAGUGCUAUUAUCUUUCAUAUGAACGUUUUGCCCCAAAUUAGGUGAAUUUACGCACUCGGCCACAGGUGUAGCAGAACCUGCCCUUGUGAAAUGUAUAGCAUGGAAUGUUAUAAAAGGUGGGGAAAGCAGAACAGGAGGCAGAAGUCCAUACCCAGUUUUUGUCCCCCAUUUCCUCUGGUAGAGAAGUGAGUGAUGGACAGAUAGAGACGAGCUAUGUUAUUCUAACAGAAGCCCUUCCACAUGGAAACAGGAUGGGAAGAAAAAGAGAGAGAGAACCCUAACACAGAGAAUCCAAAACACCAAGAAUGAUAAAUAUUUUUAAAUUCUCUUUUCACUGACAUAUAAGGAAAGUAGCUAAGUUAAAAAGAAGAAACAAUUCAAACAGUAAAAAAAAAAAAAAAACGAAACAAAACAAAACAAAACAAAAAAACACUGUGCUGGGUUAAGAGUCAGGAUGUCAGAUUUUAAUUCUGGUUCGGAAGCUUAAUCAUGCUGAGCUGUGCCUCAGUUUCUCCAUCUGUAAAACAAGGACUGAAUGAGAUGAUCUUUUAAUUUCCUUCCAACUUAAAAUUCUGUGAUUUCAUAAAAAGAAAGUGAGGAAUCCACUUAUUUAAAAGGAAAUAAAACAAAGAAAUUUUAUAUUCAAGUGAAUUUUAAAUGUUCAGAAGGAAAGGAAAAACUGGUAUAGAGAGAAUUCUUCACAUCCACAGUAGCUUAGGUUGUGUUCCUUGGUGGACCGGGGAGACUCUGGGCCCUGAGGCCUCCACCAGUCCAUCCCAUGAUAUCACCAGAGGCUCUUGGUCUCAUCACCAUAAAGAAUCCAAGGAGAGAUGAGAAACAACAGUUGAGUGGUGCAAGUAGGAAAGUUUAUUAAAGGGAGAGUACACUCUUGAAAUGUGAGAGUGGGCGAGCUCAAGGAUAGCUGCUCUCGGGGUUAGGGUCUCUGUCUUUUAACAGAUGUUAACUAGGGUGUGGAAAAUAUAUUACUUGGGGAAGGGAUAUCUUGGGGGCAGGGUUUCGUGCCUUUUCUCCCUUACUUGGUACUUGGUUAGAGGGCCUUCUUUGUCUUGAGCCUGUCUGGCUUGAUCUGGCUUCUUGAGGCUUUGUUUUUGGAAUGCUGCCAGGGCAGAUCUCUAACUUGCCCCAUAGCUGGCCAUGACUACCCCUUUGCCGGCCUCCAGUCCCUUUAAAGCCUAACAGUUGCAACUAACUGCCUACUCUUAACAGUUCCAUAGGACAGGGUGCUGAGUAACAAAGAAGUCCAAGGUCCAGGUCCUAAAAGAAGUAAUAUAUGUGCUUUCUUAAUCUUUCUUAUUACCUUUGAAGCAAAUCAUGGUGAGAAAAAUAAGAUAUACUGUAUAUUGAAGAAAAGACAACCAUUAUGGGGCACCUGGGUGGCUCAGUCGGUUGAGCGUCUGACUCCUGGUAUCAGCUCAGGUCGUGAACUGCUUGUGGGAUGGAGCUCCACAUCGGCCUCUGUCCUGACAAUGCGGAGCUUGCUUGGGAUUUUCUCCCACCCUCUUUCUCAGCCCCUUCCCAACUCAUGAUCUCUGUCUCUCCCUCUCUUUCUCUCAAAAUAAAUAAACGUUAAAACAAACAAACAAACAAACAAAAGAAAACCAUUAAAAACAUGUCUACAGGAAGACAGGAGAGAAGAAAGGGAGAAGAGGAAAAAGGAGGAAAGAAGCAAAGAGAGGAAAGGAGAGUUUGAGGCCAAUUGAGGAUGAGGAGGCAUCCUGAGAGGUGAGUAGAAGCUAGCUAGAUAUAAGGGUCCAGGCCACACUUCAUUUUUUCUCAUGAGUUGUAAGCAGGUGUUUAAAGGCUAACGUAAAUUAAAGUAGUUCUGGACAGCAAGCUGUUCUGCAGCCCUGAGACAUACAUAGAAGAUUUCUGACCCUAAGAAAAGAGGCAGGCUGGGCUGAAAGCCAUUUUCUCCCUGGCACAGUAAAGAAAACCAGAGUAGAUUGAAGGUCUAAGCAAAUUAGUUGAGUGAGUCUAUGAAAGAUAAUUAUAUUUUCUUGAAACUUAGAGUUUCUGUAAAUACAGAGCUAGCUUAAUAUAAAAGUUGAUAUUUCAAUGGAGUAUUUUUGUCAAUGAAGAAAACUAACAAAUUUUUGAGCUGGAUCUUUUCAGUAUCUAGGAAAUUACUUAUAUCUUAAGCACUGAUAAACUCCCAUUGGACUCCUCCUAUAUAAGACCACCCCCAGAGCCAACUGUAUCUGAAGGACCACACUGAGAGCUUCCAGUAAUGUCCAUUAUGAUUCACUACUCCCAUUUCAUUCACUCAGUCACCAUGUAUUUACUGAGUACCUACGAUAAGAUUACCAGUCAUAAGAUUAUAGUGAUGAACAGGAAAAAUUUUCUGAUCUUAGAGGACAUACAUUCUUGUCGGGUAGGAAUGAAGGCAGGGAGUUUGAAAAUGAGUUAGUUAUAAUAUUUUGAAAUAGACCUAAAAAGGGUUUGGGAAACAAUUUUAGUAACUCUAGAUAGGGUUAAUAUAAUUCCAACUACUAAAUUAUAACUGAAAGAAAAUUUAUGGGGAUUUCUAGGUGAAAAAAUCCUUAAUUUCACAACUGUCUCCCUGUCCAUCAGGGAAACAAUUUAAUAAAGAAAAUUAAGAUGAAAAGAUUGCCAAAUGACUGUCAGGAACCAGAGCUAAGAAGAUGCACAAAGACAAUCCUGUCCACAUUGGCUGAGAAAACUUACCAACAAUGUCUGUGGAAUGCUGCUCAGUCCCACAGAUAAUUUACUUUAUAUCAGGAAACAGGUUAUAUAAAUGAAUGAAGCAGUCUGAUUUUAUGGUGAUAAAUGGAAAAUAAUGCAGUCCAGGGAAUAUGCUAAGGAGAAGUGGUGACAAUGGCAUUAUGGAAUAGAUGUGCCUACUCUAAACAGAGUAGUAGCUACUCAUCUCUAGUUGACUGUUGUCAAAUCAACUACUUUGUCAGGAGAAUCUUAAAAUUCUAGAUUUAACUUAUCUCUUCCAAUUUAAAAAAAAAUAACUGUAACUAAUUCAAACUUAAAAACUAUUCAGGCAAAGCAAAACACAUCUGAAGGCCAGAAUCAGCCUGCAGACCAAGAGUUGAUGAUCUCUGCUGGACAGAAAUGCCCAUGUGUCUCUGCAAGUAUUGCCCAGUGGGGUAUAACAUGGCACAGUGGAAAGAACCUAGAUGGGGUGUACAGAACAGUUGGAGUCAAACCCUUAAUGAAAUUGCUUUGUGCCUUUAGUUGAGUCUCAUGACCUGAAAUGCAUUGUGUCAGAAAAAUGGAAGAUGGAAGGACGGCAAUAAUAUCUUAUUUGCCAACUUUUCGGGAUUAUCCUGAGAAAUAAAAUGAUGUAAGUAAAAGUACUUUGUAAACAGUAAUUUCCUACUAAGUGAUAUCUUCCCCAGCUCUCCAUUAUCAACACUGUGACAAGUUCACUUUUCCAGUCUUACGAAAUCAAUAUUUAGGAUUGAAUUCACUUUAAGGCCAAGAGAGUAGCAUGCACGUUUUUAAAGAACUAUUCAUUGAACAUUGGAUUACUUUCAAGGUGCACACUUGAUUAAUUUGUAUUCCAGCAGUUCUGAAUAUAUAGUCAUCCAAGAGUUGGAUAGUUUAAGCUUGCAAAUUCUAAAGGGAAUUUGCUGAGCAAAUGAAUAAAGUAAGCAGAAUUGAGACAGGAAAAAUAUCAACAUACUAAAACCUUUUCAGGAGUUCAUACAAAAUGUUAAAACAAUUAUUCUCGCCUGGCAUAUUUGAACAAAAUUUAUUUUGUGUUUACCUUCUAAAGGGUUGUACUAAGUGUAACAAGAGUUAUUUGUAUAUGAACACCUGAUAUGGUAAUUAAUCAUUUUUAUAGGUUCAUUGAAAUAUUUCUUUUAAAGACUUCUUAUAUAAAGUAAUCCAUAAUUCAGUUAGUUUUAUUAACUCCAUCUGACUAAUGUGAUGAUCAAGAACUUGAGCCCUAGAGUCAGCCCGUCAGGAUUUGGGUCCUUGAUAGUGGUCAUUGUAGCAAGUUACUUAAUUUCUCCAUGCCUGUAUUUCUUCAUGUGCUUAAUGAAGAUAAUAGAAACAUGCACCCCCUCAUAUGGUUGGUAGGAGGUCUGAAUGAGAUAAUACACAUAAAGCACUUAGCAGUGUAUCUGGAAUAUGAUGAGAGUAAAUGUUAACUAUUAGUAUACGUAAAUUUUAAAUGAAUUUAUUUUUUUUAUUUUUUUUUUAUGUUUAUUUAUUUUUGAGAGAGAGUCAGAGUGUGAGUGGGGGAGGGACAGAAUCCGAAGCAGACUCCAGGCUCUGAGCACAAAGCCCUGUGCAGGGCUUGAACUCAUGAACCACGAGAUCAUGACUUGAGCCGAGUCCGAUGCUUAACCAACUGAGCCACCCAGGUGCCCCUAAAUGACUUUAAUUUCAACUUUUGAGUAUUUUUUGUGGUCCCAAAAUUUCCACGUUAAAAUUAUUUUUUGCAAUUACAACUGGUUUCUGAAGCUGUUAAAAGCAGUAGAACUCUCCUUUUUAAAUGCAAUUUUAUUUAGAAUUCAUAACUUUAAAUGUGGUCAGAGGAAACUGAGUAAACUGAGACACUGCAGUAUGAGUCAGGAGUGACCCAGCUGAUUGAACUAUGGCAUUCAUAGGGAUAGGACAUAGGGAUCUCAUGUCAGCAAAGCCAAAGUUGCUUUUGGGGUCCACACAGCCUGCCCUGGAACAGUUUAGAGUAUUGGAAGAUGUGUUCCAAAAGACCAAGUACACAGACUGGGUACAUGACUUCAACCCUCAAUCUUGAUGAGCCAAUGGUAAUGCUUUAGUUCAAGAAUCAUGAUGUCAAGUGGAAGAAACAGCAGUAAAAAACAGCAACUACUGUCACCAAGAGCACCAAACUGUGUCACUUCAGUGACAGAGGGAAAGGCCCCCUGACCCACAGCUGCUGUGGACACUUGUCCUGUGAGUCCUGGAGUUCCAGUGCCAUGCACCUGAUGCACCUAAGCCUUCUGGCCCUGAACCUUAAACUGCUCCCCCCACCAUUUUCCUUAGACCACAAUUCCCUGUGCAACUGGGUGCCUCACCUGGGGAAGAUGAUCCCACAGCCUAAAUAAGUAUCUCUUCCUUAAGGUGCCUCAACUAAGAGGGGCUGGCUGACAUGAUCCUCGGUCUUUCUAUCUCAGCCACACAGCUCUUGAGGAAGGCCUGUGAUCCAAGGCCUGAUCAUCACAAAGGUAUUUCCUAACACCUUUAAUGGGCUGAUUCAAGUCAAAAGGCACCAAGCAUAGGGAUUAUUCUGUAAGAAAAAUAAUCCCUUCACCUUUUCUCAGGGCCCGUAUCUUCUGUCUUCCCAUUGAGUAUCUCUUCAUCCAAAUUUCUGAAUCAGACAGUGAUCGAGUCCCUUUGAGGAAGUAGCAGAAAUUAAGCUCCAAGUUUACCCAUUGAGUUUAGUUCAGAGACACCCCAACCAAAGUCAUGACAAAUUAAGAAGGCCUGCUCUUCAUUGGUCAGCAUUUACCUCCUUCAUAAAGCAUUUAGAUUUUUGUGGAAAUUGGAGGGUGUCAGGGCUUGAAACUUGUAACAUACAACCCAAGUGAUAUUUAAACACUUCCACAGGGCACCUGGGUGGCUCAGUCAGUUAAGCAACUGACUUUGGCUCAGGUCAUGAUCUCACGGUCCGUGAGUUCGAGCCCCGCGUCGGACUCUGUGCUGACAGCUCAGAGCCUGGAGCCUGUUUCAGAUUCUGUGUCUCCCUCUCUCUGACCCUCCCCUGUUCAUGCUCUGUCUCUCCCUGUCUCAAAAAUAAAUAAAACGUUAAAAAAUUUUAAAAAAUAAAUAAAUAAACACUUCCAGUGGGGAGGGAAAGGAUGAGUUUUUCAGUAUUCUUCAGGAAGCUGCUCUAGCAUUGGCAUCAGAACUUGACAAAGAAAUCUCAAUUGGUUAAGUUGCAUAUUUAUGUUUCAAGCUCCCAUCAAUUUAGAAAAAAUGAAAGAGUAGAUUUUUGGAAAUCCCUUAGAAGUCAAGUAGCUAAUAAAAAACAUUCAGUGAAAUGCUUGAAAAAGAAAGUUGAGCAAGUAUUUCAGAAACUAAAAUAAAAGGGCAAAAAAAGGAGUAAAACAGUUUUUAUAAAGGCUUAAUAAAAGAAGGCUAGAAUUGGAUUAAGAAAAUUCCCUUAUGCUUAAAAUAAAGAAGAAGGCAGAGAAAAUUAUCAAAGAAAUAAUGCAAGGUUGCUUCUGCAACACGAAGGGUAUGAUUAUCCAGCACAAAUGAACAAAGACUUAGCUAAAGGUAUGCUACUGUAAAAAAUCAGAAUACAAAGUAUAAAUAAAAAAUGGUAAAUUCUGGAAGCCUCCAAGGAGCUUCUGGUGAAUCCCAUUGUAGUCAGUAUUAUGUGGUCUUCUCAACAACACAUGCUUAAGAGACGAUGCAGUAAGAAUUUGAAUAUUCUAAAGAAAUAUUCAUCCACAACUUUAGUAAUCAGCAGGUACACCUAUAAAACAUAAUAGAAUAAAGAUGUUCAGGCACUGCAAGGAUUCUAAAACUUAUAUCCCAUGCCCUCUUAGGGAACUUUUCAAGGAAAUGCUAGAGCAAAAUAAGGAACUGGAUACAGGAAAAACCUUAGGAUUGGAGAAGCACAGGAAGCAACAAAGCAGGGGAGCAAAGGAGCUUCCAGGACAGAGGUUGUGCACUAACCAUUUCUAUGCCAUUUGAAAGCAAUCACCGCAGGGAAGGAUGCAGAAGAGGAGAGUAGAAGGGGAAAAAAGAAAAAAGAAAAAAUAGAAAAAGAGACCAUGACAGUGACCAGCUUAGAAUGUAGAAUAAAACAGAAGCCUCAAGGUUAGAGGUCCCUGGAAAAAAAUCAGUUUGAUAGGAUAUCUGAUUUGCUUAAGAAAUAAAAUUAAAGGACUUUGGAUAGAUGCAAUGAAGGAUAUAAAAAAUAAGGUAGGUACAUCCUUAGCAAAUAAAAAGGAAUUAUCUUUAAAAAGCAAAGAACUUUAUUGAUAACGUGAAUUAUUUCUCUAGAGAAGCAGUUCUCAGGCUUUCUGGCCUCAAGACUUCUUUUACACUCUUGCAGAUUAUUGAAGACAGCAAAGAGCUUUAGUUUAUGAGGGUUAUAUCUAUCAAUGUUUACCAUAUUAGAAACUGAAACUGAGAAAUGGUCGCACAUAUACUUACUAAAUCAUUUUAAAUUAACCGGAAACAUUUACAUGUUAAGUCUAUUUCUGUGAAAAAUUGUAUUUUCCAAAACAAAAACUAUUCAAUGAGAAGAGUUCAGUUGGUUUUCAUUUUGCAGAUCUCUUUCAUGUCUGGCCUAACAGAAAACAACUGACAUCUCAUCUGUGCUUCUGCGUUCAGUCUGUUGUGAUACAUCACGUACCUCCUGGAACAUCUUACCAUUCACAAAUCUUUAAGAAUUAGCAAAUAGUUUUGACACCUGCUCCCUUAAAAGGGCCCCCAGAUGACGCUGAAAAAAAAAACAGUCCUCUAGAGUAAUACUUGACUUCUUAAUGAAUACUCUUUUAUAUAGUUAUAAUAUAAUUUCUUAUACUGAUUUAACCAAAAUAGCCAUUCAGUUACCCUGGGAGUCUGGAUGUGAGUGAGGAAGACUCUGGUUAGCAUUAAAUCAUCAACAACAAUAAUAACAGAUCAAGGGGUGCCUGGGUGGCUCAGUUAAGUGUCUGACUUUGGCUCAGGUCAUUAUCUUGCAGUCCGUGAGUUUAAGCCCCGGGUCAGGCUCUGUGUUGACAGCUCAUAGCCUGGAGCCUGCUACAGAUUCUGUGUCUCCCUCUCUCUCUGCCCCUCCUCACUCACACUCUGUCUCUGUCUCUCAAAAAUGAAUAAAUGUUAAAAAAACUUCUUUAAAUAAAAAAAAUAAUAAUGGAUCAAAAGAUGAUGUGUAGUAUCAGUGAGUUGUUAAUAGCAGUAGAAGUAAUUUAUAUUAAAUGCUAGAGGUAAAUAUCAGAAGCAUCACCUCCCAUAUUUUAAGUGAUUGCUUCUAGAUGAUGGUAAAGAAGGGUGCAGAAGGGUAGAGCAGGAGACUGUUAUAAAAUGAAAUUCUAUGCAGCCUUUAAAAUGAGCUUUUCCUAUAAAUUUAUGGAAAUAAUUAUCAAAAUAUGAAUCAAGUUUUGAUGAUUCAGUGGACCUCAGGUGGAGCUUCAGAUUUUGCAUUCCUAACAAGCUCCCGGGUGAUACCAAUACAGAGCCAUGCUUUCUGUAGCAUCGACUUAAAUAAGGAGAAAAUAGUCCUAACUCAGAAUUUUAAAUCAUUCUGAUGGUAUCAGAAAGAAAGCCUCAGGUACGAGAUUGUGCUUUAUAUCUCUCCCAUAGUUGCCGAACUCUGAAAGAUGUCCUUGGAACUUUCAUGAGGGAACAGUAUCUAACAAAAAUUUAAAAGGAAAAAGUGAGAAAAUUGGUGAAAUCCUAAUAAAGUCUAGAGUUCAGUUAAAAUUAAUGAAGCUAAUGUUGGUUUCUUUGACAAAUGUUAUCAUGGUAAUAUAAGGUGAACAUUAGGGGAAACCAUAAAUUUCUAGUUAUUCCAAAAUUAAAAGUUUAGUUUAAAAUGUUAAAUAAAAGAGUAAAUAGCAAAAGAGGUAAAAGCCGAAAUAUUCUGAUUAGACCAGUGAGAAAAGUAAAAAGAGGGGGACCCAGAAUCCUUCCUAUUUUUCAUUCCCCUUUGACCUCUGGUAGCUCCUGAAACUGAAAAACCUUUGGCCUCUACAUAAGAUUGGAAACCAGCAGACCUAGCAUUCUUUUUUAUGUUUAUUUAUUUUUUUGAGAGAGAGUGUGAGUGGGAAGAGGGGCAGAGAGAGGGGGACAGAGGAUCUGAAGUGGGCUCUGCGCUGACAGCAGUGAGCCUGAUGUGGGGCUUGAACUCACAAACUGUGAGAUCAUGACCUGAGACGAAGUCAGACGCUCAACCAACUAAACAAUCCAGGUGCCCCUACCAUUUUAUUUUACAAGGAAAAAAAACACGAGACCCAAAGAUUAUUAACUGUCUUACUCAAAAUUACACAUUUGUGUAAAAUAAGGACCAGAAUGGAAGAUUUCCUUCUGUGUCAUCCUUGUUGCUUUUCAACAACUAUGGGUUUUAUUUAGAUAUAUCUAAUUUUCUUCUCUAAAACAGGGGGAUUUUCUUCAAUGUGACCACAAGAUAGACUCACAUAUGUCACCCAAAUAGCUCCCAGGUGAGACUGACUUAUGUGUGGUCACAAUAGGUAAACCAAAGAUCAAAUUGGUCACUUAUCAUGAGAACUGAAGUCACUGGAGAAAGAUGAGUUCUGUCUUCUUGGAUAAAUUCCUGUUUUCCUGUGGUCCAAUGAGUGUUUGCAUGGAAAGUGUAUAAAUUAGCUUGUCAAUUGAUAAGGUUAAAGGACUUGGCUAAGAAGGCAAGUAAUAGCUUGGUAUUUGCUUGAAUUCUUGAUAUUCUUAUCUUUUUUAAUGUUUAUUUAUUUUGAGAGAGUUUGUGAGUGGGAGAGGGGCAGAGGGUGAGAGAGAGGAUCCCAAGCAGGCUCCGCGAUGUCAGCACAGAGCCGGACUCAGGGCUCCAUCUCACGACGUGAGAUUAUGACCUGAGCCAAAAUCAAGGGUCAGAGGUUUAACCAACUCAGCCACCCAGGUGCCCUGACAUUCUUAUCUUGAUUGAGAAAGCCUGAUGUUUAGGAUUAAAUCAGAAGCUGUCCAUGACUACUUCUUUGGCACACUUCCCAAAUAAUGUGCCCAUUUUUCUAGCUGGUAUCUAGUCACUGAGCCAUUGUUGAUGCUAUGCCUGUAGUGUUGUCGCUUCUAAAUAUGCUCGUAAAAAGCAAAGUGUCCAUUCAUCCUUUGCCAUCCUUUUAAUUAUUCAUAGGUUUGGAGUGUUGGGCUUUACCUCCAAGAGAUAUAGAGCCUCAUGAGUAACACAGGCCUUUAAUGCAGGUGAUGGGUUUAUCUAUUAGGCUGCCUAUUAGCCUGGAGAAAAAAAUAAAUGCAACUUGGAACAAAGCCUUUCUUUGUUCUUAGCCUUCAUAUUCAGUGGUGUACUUCCCUAGGUUACCUUGGCCUUGCAUUGUUUGGAGCUGUCUCUACCCAUUUAUACUAUCCGAGCUUUCGUGGGUGCUUGGGCUAGUGCUUCUCAACUUUGUUAUUACAGAGGCAGUUCCUCUGCUCCUAAUAUGUGUCUCUCAGGUCCCGCUUCCCUUCCAUGAUCUUUAAAGCUAGGCAGCACAAAAGGGAAGGUCAGCCCAGCCACGCAGUAUGUCUCUUUCACUCAGCCCAUCUCUAGCACUAUCACAUGAAUCACAGCAUGAGACUGUGCUGAAAACGAAAUCCUACUGCACGUUAAGCCAACGAAAAGCAUAGUUCUGCUUACCUUAGAAAAAAUCAUUUAUGAAAGGAAAAUCCAAACUCCCCAUUCAAAAUUGCUUUAUGGUGAUUUUUUUUAGAAGCAGAGUAUCGAAAUUGUGUACUUAGAACAGUGCCACAAAGCGGUGCUUGCUGGGGGAAGGAAACAAGCUUGUUCAAUAACGUAGGUUUUUGAAACAGGCUUUGUCUUGGAGGCUUGAUGAUUUACAGAUAAAUCUCUCCUCAGUCCUGCCAAGAUAAUUGGACUAAGGGCAUACAUGUUAACAGGUUUUGUUUUCUAUUCAACUAAUAAGUAGCUUUGUUGUUAAUCCUUAUUGUGUUCAUUACUUAAGAACAUGCAAUAUGGCAGGUGAUACUCCUCCUAGAGAGGCUUUGUGGGAGACUGCUAGGGAAUCAGGGCAAGAUACAUUCCUCUUAGUAGAAUGGACUUUCAGAGAAUAUGCAGGAAUUCCUGGGCUCCUGUUACCAUGCAGCGGGGUCUAGUAGGGAGGGGAGCAGACUCUUAAAUAAAACCCUUGCAUUUGCUGCUUUUUUGCCUGUUUUCCUGACUGAAUGUCUUGUCCACUUGGAUGUUUCAUCUGUUUCCUAACAAGGUUCAUGAUAAAAAGUGAGAACUAGUAUUUCAUAGGUCAGGUAACACUGCCUUACCGUGAGAUUAGUUUUCUUUUAACAUAAUUUGGUAGAUAGUUUGCAAUCUUGAAAUACCAGAAGGUCCUGCAUUGCCAUGGAUUUCUUGAUGCAACUAACCCAUGUUGUCAAGGCAACCCACUUCAUGUUUUCUCCCCUCUAGAAAACCAUUUCCAUGUUGCAAACCUUAAAUCACAAUCAUCUCUUAGAAUACACAGGGUCAAACAUCCCCUGUAUGCACAAAGCUAUUACUUUUUUUUAUAUAAGAUAUCGUGUCAUUACAGUAGAAUAAUUUGACUUGAGGGAUAAUAUGUGUAUUAAAGCAUUGAAGUUAAAAUAAUUCUGUAGCAUUUAUGUCCUAUCUCCCCAUUUCCAGGAGAUAUGAGGCUGUUUCCUACAAGCAGUUACAUUUUUGAAGCUCUAGUAACAAUGUUGACAUAUUUUGACUAAUUUCUAUGUAAAUUGAUUGCAAUCAACAGCUUUUUCAUGGUUUGUGAAAUUAAAUCACUUAAAAGACGAAGUACUUUCUGGAAUUACUAUCACCCACCUGUUGUAUAUUUUCUCCUUUUUUAAGAGACAAAGACCAGUUUUGAGAGUUCUUCCAUGUUAUUGAUAUGACUCCACUAUUCUCUGAGAACCUGGGUUAGCAUCAUGCUGGAACUCAGAGACUGACAUCAGGCGGAAAGUGUUCCCUCAGAUAUCUGGGCUGUUUGAGUGGUUGGUUUAAAAGAAAAUCCCAAUUGGGGCGCCUGGGUGGCUCAUUUGGUUACGCAUCCGACUUUGGCUCAGGUCAGAAUCUCACGGUUUGUGAGUCACAGCCCUGCAUCCAGCUCUGUGCUGACAGCUCGGAGCCUGGAACCUGCUUCGAAUUCAGUGUCUCCCUCUCUCUCUGCCUGCUCCCCCCUACCUGCCCCCCACUCCCUGCUCAUUCUCUGUCUCUCAAAAUGAAUAAACAUUUUUUAAAAAUCCCAAUGAAAGGAUAGUAGGAAUCAUUUUACCCCUUUUCCUAGUUCACUAUUAACAAAAAAAUUGGGUUAGGUUAAGAUUCUUUCUGAGGUUUGAAAAUUUGAAGACUUUAUUUUUAACCUACUCUUGGCAAUACAACUCACAGGCUACAUUUAACUUACGUAGUGAUCAGAAGUAAUUCUUAGUGACUCAUCCAGUACUGUUGGUCUGGCUUUCUAGUUAGUCUUUCAAAUAUUUAUAAGACUUCCUGCCCCUUACAUUUUUGUUCAAAAGUUGAUUGCAUAAAAGGUAGCCAUGUUUCAUUUCAUGAUUCCCAAAGGUUUGAGAACACAAGUAUGUGGCUUUAAAUGAAGUUUCUAUGUGGGUCUUAAUGGCUCAGAGCAUUUUCACGUUGCACGUUUAUUAGAUAAAACCUACUUUGGCACCUUUCAGCUGCCAUUCUUAUUUCAACAAGCUAAAGAAUUUUAUCCAUAUAAAAUAGUACAAAUUAUCAUAUCCACUAUUGAGGAACUGGCAUUAUUUUCUUUCCAUUAUUGUGAUUUGACAGGUCAGGCAUUCAAACGUCAGUCAGUCUACAAAGCCUUUUAGGUUACUUAGCUCAGCCCUCUCCUGUUAUAUCCUUCAAAAAUUAUUAGCACUCCAUCACAAUGCACAAAGGAUUUGAGCCUACUUACAGAAAUGCAUGCCAAAAAGUGAAGCCAAUUGUUAAGGAGGUUGUAGGAAAAAGAAGCGAGUGAAAUAAAAUCCUAAAACAAACAUAAGGAAGAUGCAUACCACGGGUCCUGUGUGCUAGUUAGACAGGAAGAAUAAUUUGCUUCCAAAUGGAUUAGCAUCCAAAACAAAGAAGGAAGUGUGGUAAAUUAAAUAAUUUAUACAAAUAUAAAUAUUUUAUACAAAUGUAAAUAUUUUAGCAAAUACAUAGAUUAUCAGAUCACUGAGGUCCUAGGGAAAUUUUCCUCUUGUGCUGCCAUUAAGUAAAUUUGGUAAAGGUGUAUAUCAUUUACAGUAAUUAUACUCUAAGAUGCAUUGUGUUAAUGACCAUAAUAAUCAGCCAGCAUUUCCUGGUUGCUUACUGGUGUUAGGCACUGUGCUGCAUGCUUUGUUGUGUACCCAGCCUCAUUUAACUCCCCCAAGAAACAUGAAAUAGGUAUUCUUAUCAUAAUGUCACAAGGGAAAAAACUCAGGCUUAGAGAAGUUAAAUAAACUGUCUAAGGUGUCUGUUUUUACUCAGUGGAGCUGGGAUUCAGUCUUAAAUCAAUGUUAUGCCUAAGUCAGGUUUUAAGCACUAUUCUACGCUGACUCUAUAGGUCAAAGUAGGGAGUGAUCAUAUCUGCCUGCAAAGUUAGAAAAUGCUUCCCAGGUAGAGAGGGAGUUGAAAUUGGUUAUGAGUGGUAACUAGAUGUCUCCCAGUGAGACGUAAACAUUUGAAGACAUUCUAUGCGAGAAAACAGUGCAUUUAAAUUCACACAGGAUGAGUAGUUCACAAAUUGAAAAUAGCUGGCUUUGCCAGAAAGAAGGAUGACCAUAGGCAAGUUUCUCAACCUCCCAUCCUCAUCUACAAUGGAAGUAAUAAUAGGAUGCCCAUCAUUGAGAGGUUUUGAAAAUUAAUAAUGUAAGGCUAUUAAUAUUAUUGUUAAGACAGAUAAUAGAUGAAGUUAAACAGAAGCAAGUACCAGAUUAUAUCCAAUGCUUCGCUAAAGAAGGACAUGGGAAGGACAGUAAGGGUAUUAAAUAAUGAAUUGAUAUAUUUGGACUUUUGAAAGGUUGUUUUGCAGCAAUGUGUGGAGAAUGAAUUGCCCAUGUAGUUGAGCCAGGCACAACAUGCAAGCUAGAAAACAAUAUGGACUUAAUUAAAGCAGUAGCUGAGGGGACAGAGAGGAAGGAACUUAAUAGGGUUUAGUUACUGAACGACUGCCAGAGCUGAAGAUGAGAAAUGAGGUGUAGGAAAUAACCCGUGAUGGUUCUCAGCUUUCUGCCUCCACUGAUUAGGUGAAGGUUUUAAUCAUUAACUAAGGAAGAAUAUACAUGCAGAUGAACAAAUCUGGGGAAAUAAUAUAAGAAGUACAGUCAGAACACAUGAGUUUGAGAUGCUUGUGAGCCGGCGAAGUAAAGGAGGUGAGUCUGAGAGAGGUUGAAUCUGGACUCGGAGGGAAAUGUGGGUGGAAGUCAUCAGGAUAUCUGUGGUCGUGGAAGCCCCAGACUCAGAUGAAUCAGUGAAGAGUGAGCUAUGAUGAGAAUGUGGAGGAAGAUGGAGCCCUGGGACCCAGAUGUAGGGCCAAGUGGAAAAGAGAAACCAGCAGACAUGCUCAACAGCACCAGCCAGAAAGGGGCAAGAGACCAGUGAAGAGUGACACUCUUGAAACCUAAGGCUUAAAAGAAAUUGGAAGACUCAGCAGUGCUGUGUCGAGUGCUACAGACAAGACUUUGAGUAAACGUAAAAUUAGGAGGUCCUCAGUAAUUUUUAGCAGGAACCAUUUCAGGGGGGCCACAUUUGUGACAGCUGGAUUUCAGAGGGUUGAAGAAUCUACAGAAAGUAAGAAAGGGCUGACAUUCAGAGAAAGGUAGAAUAUGCAUGCUAAAAUGUUACCUGUGAAGCAGUAAGUAAAUGGCUUUUGGUGGAGCAGAGAACCAGGGACUGUGUUGUUGUUGUUGUUGUUGUUGUUGUUGUUGUUGUUUAACUGGAGAUAGAUGUAUAAGGUUCUUAAAUAUUAAAAAAACAAAAAUAAGCAACCAAGAGGAAAAAAAUAUGGGGAAAAGCAAAUGGUCAGUACACACACACACACACACACACACACACAGCAAUCUAAACUAUUAACAUUUCAACAACAAUCUAGUAUCAAUUUUAUCCUGUUAAAUUGGCAUUUCAAACAUGCUCAGAGUGGAAUAAUUUUCCCAGAGAGCAAAUUUGACACAUACCAGAAGUCUUAAAUAUGUAAUAUGAUGUCUCCAUUAAGUUUUAUUUCUAAAGAUUUACAUUAAUGAAGUAAUCAUGGGUGUGCACAGUAUUUUGCUACAUGAAUUCUUGGCACAGUAUUAGCUAUAACAGUGAACAAACAAAUGUAAAACCUAAAACAAUAAUACUUCCAGGAGAAAACAUACGAGAAAAUCUGUAUGACUUUGGGAUAGGCAAAAAAUAACCAAAAUAACGAAAAUUUCUAUUAGUGAGACACUAAUAGAGACUUCAGUUGCUAUUUGAUAGCAUAUAUGCAGCCAUUAAAAAUGAAAUACAAUGACAUUCGUGAUAUAUCGUUACCUUUUAAAAACUGUUUUUACUGAGGGGCACCUGGGUGGCUCAGUCGGUUAAGCGGCCGACUUUAGCUCAGGUCAUGAUCUCGCCGUCCGUGAGUUCAAGCCCCGCAUCGGGCUCUGUGGAGCCUGCUUCCGAUUCUGUGUCUCCCUCUUUCUCGCCCCUCUCCCAUUCGUACUCUGUCUCUCUCUGCCUUUCAAAAAAAAAAAAAAAUGAAUAAAUGCUAAAAACUGUUUUUACUGAAGUGUGUUAGCAUAAUGUCUCCCUUUUAUUUAAAAAUAGAACUCUUACUCAGCAUUGUACUUAAGGUUCUAGCCCCUCCCUAUACGUGCAAAUGUUCUGGAACACUGUAAAAGGGAGUGUCUGUACCUGCUAUGCAGAUAGGAGAAAAGUACUGUGGCCCAGAAAGUGGCACUCCUUUUUGGUAGCCAAUGGGGGGAUCAGUGCAUGGAGACAAAAUCCUGUCCUCCUGGGCUCCACUGAUAGAAUGAAUGAUAGGCCAGAGCACAAGUGCAGACAGAGUCUUUUAAGUUCAGGAUGGAUGGUUUUUGUGAGGUGACUCAGACUCUGCAGUCUCUUGAACCAUGUGUCCCGAAGUAGUCCUAUGUUAGACCCAUUCUCCAAGUUCUCCCCUGCUAGAGUGGCUUGUAGAUGAGACCUAUUGUCAAGGGUCAUGGAAAGUGACUAAUUUAGACUGCAGAGGGAUGUUUUGUCCUCUUAGAUAAGAGGAGAGGAAGUAGGAAGGGUGUGAUGCAGUUAUAAAUGAGGAUUUAGUCUAAAGACAGGAAGUUGAGAAUUUAUGCAUGAGGGUAUCAAUGUUCUCCAAAGUAGAAGUUAUAUUUAAUAAGACCCACUGUCAAGACAUCACUUCUUUCCCUCUCCUGGAGGGAAAAACUAGUAGCAGAAACUACUAGUUAAUCACUCUCUGUCUCCACUUUAUCUUCCAUACAGUUAUAAGAAUGACCUUUUAAAAACCCUGGUAUCCUUAAACUCUAAAAGCCUUUCUAUCUUAGUCCUUGGAGAUUGCCUAAACUUGGCCCACACCUCAAAUCCAUGGCCUGGGACCAUCCACAUCUUGUACCUGCUUUCCGGAAGUGCCUGCAGCCUACUUUCUGUUUCUACAUACUCUGUCCAUAUAGACUGUCCCACUUCUGUUCAUAUAAAUCUGAUCUCCAAGGUGAGUCACUUUGUGGAUUUUGUCCCCAAAUUCACUUACCUCACCAUUUGGUGAGCUCAGUAGCAGGAGAGCAAUCCCACCAUGAAGCCCAGGGGCUUCUGCCUUCUGUCAGCUACCCCACAACACUCUCAACCCCUCCACCUUCUCCUUUCCUCAGGAUAGACAAACUUUCUCCAUUGUCUCGCUGAAAGAGAUCAGCCCACAUCCGUGUUCCUUGUGGUCUUGAUUUUCACUCCAGCUAAUCAUACAGAAAUUUAUUUUGAACAAAUUCUGAGAGGGAAAUCUGGGAAGGACAUCUGCUUUUCCCCACACAUGAAUGUCUGUCAAUCUCAGGCCCCAUUUUCCCUGCCUUUGGGUUGAUACUCAAGGCUCUUCACCAUCCGGUCCUGCCCACUCUUCCCACCUCACCUCUUGCCUUUUAACCUCUUGCUCACGCUCUGAGUCUUUGCAGUUUCCUCAAGCAAAUCUGCAUCCCGCAGAACUGUGUAAAUUUUCACAUAAUUCACCUUAUCCUCUUUCUCCUUCUUAUCAUGCUCAGCUCAAGCAUUGAAAGCAUUUUAUGAUCUUUAAUAGAAAGGGGAUGUUUAAAUGGGAAUAUUAAACAUUCCUACUCCAUUUUCAAUGUGGAUAACUGAACUUCACCUCUUGGUUUUUAGAAGAACAAAUUAUUAGAGUAAUAUUAGAUUGGCUUACCAUUGGCUUACCAUAUUCCUGUCCCUUUGCAGGGAUUCAGUAGCACUAGAGAAAUGGACAACUGAAUCUGCUGAAAAAUGAUGCUUAUCAGAAUUUUAAUGACUGGGAAUUAAGGACAUGGAGAAGGAAGCAGGCCAACCCAUUUUUAUUAGAUUUCCAAAGAGAUGGGGCGGGGGGAGAGGAGAUAAACUAUUAAAUAAGAACUUUUAAAUAAGAAUUCCUCUCAUAUUCACUUGUGAGUCUUAAAAGCUAGGAAGAAAAAUGGAAUCUAUUCUAGAAUGUGAACAAGUAUCACUUGUGUCUCAACAAAUUCCACACAAAGAGCAACCAGAUAUGAGGGAUACAUUGCUUGAAACAGACUUCUCAGCAAGGGCACCUGGAGGUCCAGAACAAGUUGUUUUCGGUGUCCUCUAAAAGGACAUAAAAUUUUUGGCCACCCAGAAACUUUCCUUGGUUCAAAGCAACUUCUUAAAUGGAAGAACACAAGAGUUGAGUGUGGUAGGAUGGGACACGGUUGCAUUUCCUAUACUGCAAAAUGCAGGAAUGCAGUUGAACAUUCCCCUGCAAACAAGAAGGAGCUACCAGUAGGCUGAGAAUCGGCAUUUGAGAUUUGGAAUUCAUUCUGAGUACCGCAAAUGAGGAAACUGGCCAGUUGUGGUUGUUUUCCAAGCAUGUCACGUCCCCGAACCAUAAGUUUCAUUUCCAGCCUGUAGAGAUUAUAUGUACCUCCCACCCUUCCCUGGUCCAGUGCUUCCUUAUUUUGUAAGAAGCGGAUAUGUUACUAUUAAAUCAAUUAAAGGGAAAGGCAGCUUAAAGCAAAGGCCCUCAAUCUGCAAAGUGUCUCAGACCUCUCUGAGAAUUCAGUGAAACGAUAUGGACCUCUCCCCAGAAAAAGUAAAUGUAACGUUUUACAUACAAUUUACAAAAUUAAUAUACCCCUAGAAAUCCCAAGGAACUUGGCUCUUUAAUGAAAAGGCUUCAGUUUUAGGACAACACUCUGAGCAAAGUCUCAGUCUCUAAAAUGCAAAACAAGCUUAAAAGUAAUAUAUUGAGUCAGCUAAUUAUGCUGGAUGUCAAAACGCUGCUAAAACUGAUUUUUAUUUGGUUAUCUUUGUGUUAUUAUAUCUAAAAUGUGAAUCAAUAGUUAGAGUAAAGGUCAUUGGCUGCCAUUUAAGCUGGAGUAGAAGAGAUAUUUAUUUUUCAAAUUUAUUUCAAAUUUUUAUAUGAGAGUAAAAACACCAGCUACAAUGAUAAAAACAUUAUAUACAGUGUUCAGAUGUGACACUACUAUUAAAGCAGGCUAGAAAUAGGAUGAAGAAAUUUUUUUUGACUCCUAAAAAUAAGUAUUGACAAUGAGCUGUCAGUAGAAUUGACACUUUGUACAAUAGAGACGCCACAGAGAAAACUCGCUUUUUUCUUUGCUGCCACCCGAAGGAAUAUUUUGGAAAGAUAACUAUAUACAUUCACACAUACGUACAACAAGACAGUUGAGAGAGAGAAAGAAGCAUUUAUGAAAUCAAAGUCUGAUAGGCAAAUACAGUUCCCUGUUCUAAUACACAAAGCCCCACAAUUAUGAUGCUAAUGUAAACUCUAAGAAAGCAGGAAUUUAGGUUGUGUUCUCUUGCACCUAGAAAAUAUCUGACACAUUGUGAUGCUUCAGUAAUUAGCUCCUGAAUGAAAAAAUCCACUACUCAAUAGAGUUUUAAGAAAUCUACAUAUAACCUACUGUAUUGCUCUGGGCAAAUCAGUUCAGUUCUCUGGACCUCCGUUUUUCCAUGUAGAAAGGGAGGGGUUAAAUUUGGGUCUUUUAAAAUUGGGUCUUCUAAUAUUCCCAGUCUCUAUGAUUCUGCUUAGUACAUAGGUACUUUCUUCUAAACCUAAAUGAUCAUUUUAGGUACAAAGAGCCAGCAAGCAAUAGCCUAUGAAGACCCACAUGCACAUGGAUGAAAGGAGAUACUUACAAAUGAAAUAAACAUGAGGAAUAUAUAUUUCUGAGGCAUGUUUAUUUCUUCUGGGGAAGAACAUCAUAGAGGGCAGUGGCAAUUCCAGGAGUCCUACGCAAGGUCUUAAAUCUGUAGAGAAGAAGGAAUAUGCCAUUUUUAUGGAAUGUGAUCCAGUUAUUCUCUCUGUUUUCUUUAUGAAGUCACAUCCCAUAAUGAAAUAUCCCCACGGACACAGCACCGUAGAUUUUCUGACAGCUCAGCAUGCCUGAAGUGGUAACACACUGAUCUCUCUUCCAGAAUGUAUGAUAUGGUAUUUUUCACCAUGAACUCAAGAAAAGACAGACAACCAAGUAUUGGUUGAAUAUUUUAAAAUAAACUUUAUUUAAGUGCAUCUCUUAAGUCUCUAAGUAAUUUGUGUUCUUACAUGACAAUACUAAUCAGCCCAGAUUAGGGUGAAAUUUUUUUUGGCGGUGGGGGGGGGGGUUGAGGGGGUUGGUAGGGAGGUAGAAAUAUUUUCACUCUUGUGGAAAAAUAUUAGAAAUGACACUUUCUCCCUAAAAUAUUUCCCUAAAUUUUUAUUUCCUCAGAAAAGUAAUCCUCAAAUUUCAGCAUACAUAAAAAUCAGUUGGGAAUGUUUAUUGAGAAUGCAGAUUUCUAGAUCCUCAUACAGAUCUGGGACAGAGCCUCAGAAUUUACCAUUUUAACUAUUACCAUGUCAAUUCUGAUGCGGAUCUGCCAGAGUACCUCUAGCACAUCUCCCCUCUAGACAGACCUAGCUGUCCAGUUCUUUCUUUUUUUUUUUUUUCCCCUCUCAUCUUCAUUUGUGACAUCAUUGCACCCUCUAGUGGAUGAUUGUACUCAGUAAUUUUUUUUUUUUUUCUUAUACUUAAAAACACCUUGCUCAAAUCUAAGGAAAUCUCAUUGCUUAUGAAUUUCUUGAAUGGAAACAAUGGGAGCUCGGGAGAGCGUUUAUAAGAAAACAUGUUUACUAAGCAUCAAAUUCAUAUUUAUGUAUAUAUAUUUAGUAUGUAAUAUACACACAUUUUACAAAAAGAGAGAAUUUUAAUCCUGGUAAGUUUGACUGAAUUUAAGAUAGCUAAUAGGCUUUUACAAUUUUUUAAGUUCUUAUUUAUUUAUUUUGAGAAAGAGAGAGAGAGAGUGAGUGGAGGAGGGGCAUAGAGAGGGAGAGAGAGAUUCCUAAGCAGGCUCCUGUGCUGUCAGUACAGAGCCCCAUUCAGGGCUCAGUCCCAGAAACCGUGAGAUAGAAACCAAGAGUCGGUCGGACUCUUAACCAGCUGAGCCACCCAGGUGCCCCCAUAUAUUUUUGUCACUUUGUAUCUACUGACGACAAAUUUUUAGACUAUUUAUACCUGUAUUGUUGAUAUUCUCACAUAGCAGUUUCCAUAAACGCCUUCCAGCGCAUCAGUACAAUAACUUGGGUCUUCCAGAUCUCCUUCUGAGCAUCUUUUAGUACCUAGUGGUCCUUGAGACCCCUUGAGUCACACCUAAGAUCCACAGGUCUUUUCAGAAAGUAUUAUAUGUUUUUUACCCCAUGGCUUCUAUCUCUGAAAAACCUUGUUUAUUGAGGCUAAAACCUCAAGGAUCACAAAUUCUGUUGGACCAAGCAGGUAAUAUAAAUGAGUAAAGUAAGCAGGGUGUAAACCAGAGAGUGGUGGGGACUAAAGAGAACUGAGUUUAUUACAUUUCAAGGAAUUCAAAAAUUAAUAUUUGUGAACCCACGAUGGGCCUAAGAACUAUAUGGAACUUGGUUUUACAAACCAGUUAAGGACCCCUGGUUUACUUGAGGGUUAAUUAAAUGCUAACUAUUAUGGAUGUUCCCGUGUAUAAUUCUAACAAAUACCCUAUAUAAGACAUAGUAGAUCAUCCCAAUUUUACCAGUGAGGUAACUGGAGCUUGAGGAGGUGGGUUACUUGCCCGACAUCAGAGUCAACAUCAGGGAGUUGAGACUUCCUGCCUGGGACUCUAGUCCAGGUUGGCCUGACCCCAGAGUCUGUGUUCUCAUUCACUUCAUUCCAAAGCAUCUCUGAGCAUGUGGCUUCUUGCCUGUUUGGCCUGACUGUCACUUUAUGCUUCUCACCACCUGCCCCCCAUGCGGCCCCUAAUUCUCCCUGUUUCCUGCCCCCCCCUCCCCCGGCCUGGCUCUUUCCAACAUCUUCUGUGUUCUCUUAGCCUCUGAUUCUACUAGUGUCUUUGCAUUUCGACCAUUUCUUAUAGGGUAAUUGACACCUUUCUCUGCAUCAGCAUGAUUCUUAGUAACUUAUUACUCACAUCGUAAGCUAAUGUGAUAAGCAUAUUGAUACAAUUUUUUUCUUACUAUUGCGUAAAUAAGUGCACCUUUUCCUAGAGCUUUCAAAUGGUAUUUCAGUGAUGCUUAGAUUUUUGUUAUAAGUUAGAUUUGCCCUGAUAUAACAUCUCUACGUUUCUACUCAACUGGGCUCUUUCUGAGCACUACUGUAAAUACUGUAAAGUAGUAUGAACUCUUCUCUAAAGUACUAUAGAGCAGUUGGCUCAAAAAAUUUGUUUUUGAGGGGCGCCUGGGUGGUGCAGUCGGUUAAGCGUCCGACUUCAGCCAGGUCACGAUCUCCCGGCCUGUGAGUUCGAGCCCCGCGUCAGGCUCUGGGCUGAUGGCUCGGAGCCUGGAGCCUGUUUCCGAUUCUGUGUCUCCCUCUCUCUCUGCCCCUCCCCCGUUCAUGCUCUGUCUUUCUCUGUCCCAAAAAUAAAUAAAAAACGUUGAAAAAAAAAUUUUUAAAAAAAAAUUUGUUUUUGAAAAGUAAGUAUUAAGAGUAAUUGUGUAUAAAAUUCAAGUUAAUUACUUUUGGAGGAGAAUGAGCUAUUUCUUUCACUUAUCCAUUCUUAGGUAACUUCUUGGGUUGUGCAAUCACUAAGAAAGAAUGGCAGCCCUGGGGUGGGUUUCUGGAUGUUUCCUAUCAGGCUGGCUUUCAUGUUCUCCAUUCCUCAAGAAAGACAUCAUUAUAAUCCACACACCCACAUUAAUGCUUUUUUAUUUGGGAUGUUUGAGUCGCUUCAACCUUUUAUAAAAACUGUCACCCAAAAUAGUAUUUCUUUGGGAAGUCUUAACAUAACAUUUUGAAUUGAAUUUCCAAACAAAAAAGAAUGAAAACGUACGGGCGCAUGUAUUGCAACCUGUGAUAUAUUUUUUCCAAUCCUAACAGAAAAGAAGCUCUCAUCGUGCAGCCUUUUGUAUGAUUCUACCUAGUUUAUGCAGAGUAAAUUACCCACUUGCCCUUCUUUGUACAAAUAGUUAACAAAAACAGACUGUAUUUCCCUGCUAUGAGACUCAGUAUUCAGAAAAAAAAUCUAUUUGAAAUUGGAAAAUAGAUGGAGAUGGGUGGCUUUGGCUGCCUUAAUUGUGUAUGAACAAACCCCAGCUCAUCCUUCCUUCAUCCUUCGGUGAUCAGCUAUCAACAAGAAGCAUCACUCUAGAAGAUAAAGACAAUUGAAGUUUAAUUGGAUACAGUGCUGCAAGUUCCAAGCUAGGGUAGCCACUAACUUUAUUGAAUUCUUCUUAAGUACAUGGAACUGCUCUGCACUUAUGUGCGUUAACUCACUUCAACUUGACCCUGUAAAGUAGGUACUAUUCUUAUCACGAUUGAUAGGUAAGGAAAUGGAAAGACAGAAAAUUGAAAUAACUCACCCACGAUCACACAGCAUUUAGUGGUAGAGUCAGGAUUUGAACCCAGAGCCCUCAUUUUUAACAAGUACACCUUGAAUCGAAGACACAGAGUACAUUGUGAAAUUGCACAGCUCAUUCCUCAGUGUUGGAUUCAGCCAGGCCUGGGUAUGCAUAUUGGGAACUAGCUCCCCAGGGGAUUCUGUUACACAGCCAAGUCUGAAAACUACUUCUAAUUAUAAAAGAUUCCCAGAACUGAACAAUUUUUAUUCUUACUUCCCUCCAUGUUCAGGUAGUGCCCAUUAGCAACAAUAAAUGCCGAAGGAGACCGACCAAGCAGUAGCAGGAUGUAGCCGUUGAUUCCAGGUUCCCAAGUGUUCCUCCUCUUUGUGGGAAAAUGUAUAAACUGUGUCUCAGUAAGACUGGCCAAUUACUUGCAGCAUUAUUUUUACGUAAGCUGGGUAUCUAUGACUGUUUUCCCCAACUUUAAAUCACCACAUGCUCAAAUGACCCCCAGAUGGUAGCUGUUCAUGCUGUAUAUUUCGAGUGGAGAUUUUGAAGGUUCAUCUGGACACACAGCCCAUACCUCACUAUUCGCGCUCGCAAUUUUUUUGGAUAUAGAUCCUAACCCUUCUUGCAGUGCAAGACCAUCUCCUUCUGUCCUGUUGUCAAGAGAAACAAAGGAGCUGCAUUCAGUCAAAAGUAUAGAAUGCCCCUCACAUUGGACCUUGCAUGAAAGAUGUUAAAUAAUUAGUAUCAGUGGACCAAAAGUGGAAGAGAGAACUGGGCGACGAGUGGGGAGGCUGAUUUCAGAUUAUAGUAGUCGCACAGAGAAUUUCUGGAUAUAACAUUUGAGAUCUGGGCUCCCACUAAGAAAGCCAGGAGAUCUAUGUACACAGUUUGAAUCAUGUACCAGCUUGAAUCAUGUACACUUUCUGACUUGUGUCAGAUAAUAAGCACCUUAACUAAUCAGUGAGCUUAACUACCCACCCUCCACAUCUCAACCUGGCUUUCUUGUUUCCUACCUUUCAUCAGGUUUGUGGUAAAUAUCACUAAAAGCCUGAAGAAGUGGUUCAGUCAGUUAAGAGUCUGACUCUUGAUUUUGGCUCAGGUCAUGAUCUCAUGGUUUGUGGGAUUGAGCCCCAUGUCGGGCUCUACAAUGACAGUGUAGAGCCUGCUUGGGAUUCUCUCUCCCUCUCCCUCUCUCUCUCUUUCUCUUUGACUCUUUCUCUCUCAAAAAUAAAUAAGUAAACAUUUAAAAAAUAAAUAAAUACAAGCCUGAAGAGGUCACAGUUUCCUCCAGGGUUCUCCAAUCCAUUUUUAAGAGAGAAAUUAUUUACCAAGGCAUGUCUGUGAAUUUGGGAAUUAAGUUCUCAAGAGUUAGGCCUUAUAGAUGUAAAGAGUCUUUUGUUUGGUUCUCUCCCACAGUAUUUGAAUUAUAACUAAUGAAAUUAGUUUUACUAUGUUUUCAUUUUAUUAGUUUUAAUAUGUUUUCGUGUACCUAAACACUAAUUUGAAAAUUAAAAUAAAAAGCAAAAUGGUUUGUUUAGUGAUUAAUGAGCUAAUGACAAAUGAUUUUAUUUUAUUUCAAACAGAUUCACUGAUGUUGUGAUUUUUUUCAUUCAACCUGAAAUACUUAUAUCACAGCCAAGUAACCAACCUGGUUUGUUGAUUUUCCUUCCCUGAACUACUAAUCAGUUUAUGACAGGGAGUGACAAGUGCUACUUCUAGUAUAGGCAUCAUUGAGGUCACCAUACAACUCUGCCAAGUGUCAUUAGACAAGUGGUGCUCAAAGUCUACCUUGCAUCAGAAUCACCUGAGAGCUAGUUAAAACAUGGUUGUAGGGCCCCACCUCCAGAGCUUCUGAUUGAGUAAGUCUGGUGUUAGGCACAAAAUAUUGCAUUUCUAAUGUUAAAACUCAAUUCAGGCAUAUUAAAAUUUGUAAGAGUUUAUGUGAACAAAACUCAGUUUGAAUCCGGCAGCACAAAACCAGAAGUGUUAGGAGCUCUUUACCCACAGGAUCCAGCGGAGAGACUAUACAGAGAAAGGGCGGGAGGGAAGAACGGAAAUAAUUUGAUUGGCUGUAGCUCAAAGCCUAGUUGACUGUGAUUGGUUUAUCCUUAGGUUUCCAUUUCCGAACCUUCAGGCAUUUAUAGGCUUAGAUUUUGGUUUGCUUAGGUAGGCUGUGUUGGCAUUAAAGCCAUCUCAGCCCCACGGCCUCCAUGUUUAGUUGAACACUAAACAAGAACCAAGUUGAUGCUGCUUCCGGGGAACACUCUUUAAGAACCACUACCCCAGGGGUGCCUGGGUGGCUGGGUUGAUUAAGCAUGCCACUCUUGAUUUAGGCUCAGGUCAUGAUCUCACGGUUGGGUUAGAGCCCUGCAUCAGGCUCUGCUCUGAGUUGACAGUGAAGAGCUUGCUUGGGAUUCUCUCCCUCUCUCAGCCUCUUCUCCACUUGCACUCUCUCUCUUCUCAAAAUAAAUAAUAAACAUUAAAAAAAAAGAAAAGAAAAGAAAGAAAAGAAAAGAACCACUGCCCCAGGAAACAGAUUCAUAAAUACAGAGAAGAAGGAAAAGGGUCGCCAGGGAGAAGGUAGGGGAUGGGCAAAUAGGUGAAGGGGAGUGGAAUAUACAGGCUUUUAGUUAUGGAAUGACUAAGUCACAGGAAUAAAAAGUACAGCAUAGGGCAUAUAGUCAAUGGUGUCAUAAUUGUGUUGUAUGGUGACAGAUGGUAGCUACACUUGUGGUGAGCGUAGGGUACCAUAUGGACUUGUUAAUCACUACGUUGCACACUUGGAACUAACCUAACAUUGUGGGUCAACUAUUCUUCAAUUUAAAAAAAAAGAAAAGAAAAGAAAGAAGGAACCACAGCCCCAUACCAGUGGACCCUCUAGAAACUGCACCAAUAUUAUAAGCCUCAGAACGUUUACUUACUAUCCUCUGGCACAAUAUAUCUUACUAAAGCUUAUAGAUAAUGUAGUAAACUUUAGACGCCCCGGAUAUUAUUUUUACUCACAUGAAGUAAAACUCUACUAUGUAAGUCGGUUCGGAAAAUUUUAAGUGCUCUGACAGGGAGUGACAGUUAAGUGUGGUUUUGCAUUUAUGCUGGGUUGUUGAAAUAUCCAGGAAGAGCUUGCUCAGCUGGCUGGCUGGGAGCUCCUGGAAGGCACUGUUCUCGGUACUAGUACAGUUUGGGCCUGGCGCCACCUGGUGGUAGUUAUUUGCUCCAUCAUUCUGUAGCUUUGCUGAUAAUCCAGUUUCAAUGGCUGUUAAGAAAAUUAGAAAAUGUAGUGGAAACUAUGUCAAGGAAGAAAAAGAAAUGGAUUUAGUAAAGCAUUCCUUAGCCCGUGUAUUUUGAUAGUGUGCAAAUAAGCGUCCUCUAUUCUUCUCUGAUACAAAGAUUUACAAAAGCAUUCUUAUUGGAUGGUACUUUUUAAUUUAUAUGUUAGGACAGAAUAAGAAUACAAGUGACUUAAACUAGAAAACCUUCACAGUUUGAUUCAGCCAGCACAAAUGGAACAUUUCACAGAAACAAUGUGAGUAUAAAUGCAUCAAUUUAUACUCCAAUUCAGAAGUCCUCAGAAAAAAAUCUAGUUGUAUGAUUCAAAGUGAAUAACAGAGCUCUGCUCAAUUCUUUCCAUUGUUGAGGGGUUUCCAUAAGGGACCAAAGGCCAAGAGCAAUAAAGCAGGUACCAAAGACCUAGAGAUCCAAAGACAGCAAGGUCCAAGACUACCCACGUAGGAGGUGCUAAGAUUUUGCCACACUGGUUUUGCCAACAUUAGCUAAUCCCUCAUUUUGGAAGUGUAAAAGAGGACUGAGCGAUUGACGGGGGGUGGACAAGGGGGUUGGCGGUGCAAAGAGUCAUAGACAGCUGGACGGUGUGCUGUGGUGUAUCACUGACCCUUGUCCCUCAAGGAAGGGAAAGGGAGCUGCUGACUUAUUUCCACCAGCUUCCUUGAGUCUCCUUGGAGAGACAUGUGUCAUCUUAAAACUGAGGGAUUUGUAGAUGGAUAUGUGACUCAGGCCUGAAUAAUCUAGAGAGGAAUGGCAGUGACCCUGCUGUCCCUGCUGGUAGUAAGACAAAGGUGAGGUUGUUCCCCUGGCAGAGAGCUGUGUGUCAUCAAUGACGGGCCAGACGUUACUAUUUUCUGUGUGCCUUUGGGAAGGCCAAUGCAGAGACGUCUCAGAAGUGGUGCAUGAGAAUUUGCAUCCCAAACAAACACCCAGGUGAUGCUGACACCACACUGCUGCUGAGCAGGGGCCACACUGACGGAGGGUGGGGGGCAGCUCUCCUGUCUGAUAUCCCCCUUCAGAGAGGUCCCAGUGGUAAACAUCGGACUGGGGUCUGAUGGGCAUCAGCACACAUUAUUUUGUACAAGUGGAUGGGGGGGGGGGUGGUGAAAAUGCUGUGUGCAUUCCUACAGAUUAUCGCUUUCCUGUAACAGAAUAUUUUGUGAACUGAUAUUCAAUUUCAGCAUCCCAAAUAUUAAGUUAGAGCCCUUUCAUGAUAGCUUUGGUUUUGUUUUUUUUUUUAAUGUUUAUUUUUGAGAGAGACAGAUCAUGUGCAGGGAGGGCGGGGGGUGGACAGAGGAUCCGAAGGGGGCUCUGCACUGACAGCAGGGAGUCCCGUGCGGAGUUUGAACUCACAAACCGUGAGAUCAUGACCUGGGCCAAAGUUGGCCACUCAACCCACUGAGCCACCCAGGUGCCCCUCAUGACAGCUUUGUUAAAAGAUUUCUAUCCUUGCCUUUCAAUCCAUUCCUCAUUGUAAAGCCUUACAAAAUGUAUUCAAACUUUAUAUAUAAACCUGAAAACACAAGAAUACGGGUGAACAUUUUACAAAAUACACUGAUUUCUGUUAAUGCUCAGUGCUGAAUAUUGUGUCCAAUAAUGUAAUUAUUAGAAAGAGGGCACUGUGGUAUUGCAUUCACCAAUUUACCACUGUGGUAUUGCAUUGUGAUGUCUCAUGCAUUCCAGAAUAGUCCCUGUAAGAAUUUAUAAAGGGAAGCAGGGAAGUUUGAUGGUCCCUUUACACUUCACUUCUCCUUAAAAUGCUACUGAGAUUAGGAAGUGACAACUUCAGACCUUCUAUUGUCUGGAACCAGAAGGAAUCUUUACAAAUGAGUUGGUCCAUCCUUGUCAGCCCCACUCAUAUUUUUUUUAUUUGAGCCUCAUUAAAUUUGAAGAAUGUGUUCUCAGCCACCUCAUCAAAAUGCUCCUUAGACUUAAGAAGACACAAUUCUUAAGGUUCUUUUUUAAGCCAGUUUUACAAGUGACGGUUGAUUUGGUAGGGAUAUUUUGUUACUGAACAUGUUUUCAUCCGCUUGGAACAUUUAGGAAAUGUGAACGUGUAAAGCUGCCUUUCUGCACCAUCCGGCAGUUUUUAUUUGGUCAUACUGGAUAUAAAGAUAAUUCACAACGGUCCUUAAAUCACGAAAUGCUAUUGCCAAAUGAUAAUAUUCUGUUUUACAAUGAGACAGGUUAUUCAGAUUAACGUGACAAUAAAUCAAUGACAAAACAGAUUUUUAAACAUCAGUCUUUCACAGAGAUGGUAUGAAGUUUAGAUAAAAGCCAAGAUACACAUAUGAAAACCUUCUCAGUUCAGUGUCGAUUAAUUACACGUAGAGCCUAGACUGAAGCAUCUGGUUCUCCCAUAGGCGCAUUACCAAGAUUUCUCCAUUAUUUGUUUGAUAUAAUAUAUAAAAUACAGUUUAAUCAAAAAAGAAAGUACAAGAUGAAGUGUGAUUUUUUCAUUGGUUCUAACAGACCCUUUAUAAGGAAAACUGCGUGAUGACUAGCCAGUAGGGGAGGAAUGGAUGGUGUUUGGAAAUAUAACAUUUAUUUCUCUAAAGUGUUUACAAAGCUUUCUGGCGCAUCAUGACCAGAUGUUAAGUAUUGUGCUUUCUUACAAAUGAAAUUAUAGGAUCUUAAUCGUCAGAAUGGAAGGCACGUUAGGAAGUAUCAAUUUAACUCUUCUAUCAGGGGUUGCAUUUGACAGCAAGUAGCAGAGUCCUGAGAAACAGUGGCUUAAUUAGACAGAGCUUUAUUUUCCCUGCAUAUAAAGUGGGCAUCCAGAGAGAAGCUGUUGCUCAUCAGGCUGAGUCUCUCCAAUUCUCAAGACUUUCCCUGGGGCUUGCAAGAAGCUGUUGGGACUCCUACCAUUAAUUAUGAAUUCCAGGUAACAAAGAAGAAAAACUGAAGGAAAGGAAGAAGGGGAAGUUCCUGUGCCAGGAAGACAAGAACUCAAUAUCCCAGUAGAUAGUCAUCUCAUGUCAUUGAUGGAAACCAGUCAUUGUCCACCUCUGUCAGGGAAGGUUGGAAGGUAGCUUUUAGCUGGCC
This is a long non-coding RNA of Panthera uncia (snow leopard), 30963 nucleotides long. RefSeq lists it as uncharacterized. The record is from RefSeq and is a predicted model, not a curated record. Lineage: Eukaryota; Metazoa; Chordata; Mammalia; Carnivora; Felidae. The transcript has 2 exons.